Molecule: transfer RNA, 70 nt
Filed under: Muntiacus sp. JAV16
Lineage: Eukaryota; Metazoa; Chordata; Mammalia; Artiodactyla; Cervidae
Description: tRNA-Thr
Source: RNAcentral
GUCUUCGUAGUAUACUCAAUACGCUGGUCUUGUAAACCAGAAAAGGAAAGCAACCAACCUCCCUAAGACU